ACAUAUAUUUGGGAGCCAUCG
RNAcentral lists this non-coding RNA (21 nucleotides) under Rattus norvegicus (Norway rat). Lineage: Eukaryota; Metazoa; Chordata; Mammalia; Rodentia; Muridae. The record is from RNAcentral.